GCCGGGUGUGGUGGCAGGCACCUGUAAUCCCAGCUACUCGGGAGGCUGAGGCAGGAGAAUUGCUUGAACCCGGGAGAUGGGGGUUGCAGUGAGCUGAUUGUCCCACUGCAUUCCAGCCUGGGUGACAGAGCAAGACUCCGUCUCAA
Molecule: unclassified non-coding RNA, 146 nt
Organism: Callithrix jacchus (white-tufted-ear marmoset)
Lineage: Eukaryota; Metazoa; Chordata; Mammalia; Primates; Cebidae
Rfam family: Metazoan signal recognition particle RNA
About the family: The signal recognition particle (SRP) is a universally conserved ribonucleoprotein. It is involved in the co-translational targeting of proteins to membranes.
Source: Ensembl